GACGAACGCUGGCGGCGUGCUUAACACAUGCAAGUCGAGCGGUAAGGCCCUUUCGGGGGUACACGAGCGGCGAACGGGUGAGUAACACGUGGGUGACCUGCCCUCAGCUCUGGGAUAAGCCCGGGAAACUGGGUCUAAUACUGGAUAUGACUCCAUGACGCAUGUUGUGGGGUGGAAAGCCUUGUGCGGCUGGGGAUGGGCCCGCGGCCUAUCAGCUUGUUGGUGGGGGGAUGGCCUACCAAGGCGACGACGGGUAGCCGGCCUGAGAGGGCGACCGGCCACACUGGGACUGAGACACGGCCCAGACUCCUACGGGAGGCAGCAGUGGGGAAUCUUGCGCAAUGGGCGAAAGCCUGACGCAGCGACGCCGCGUGAGGGAUGACGGCCUGG
RNAcentral lists this ribosomal RNA (390 nucleotides) under uncultured bacterium. RNAcentral's name for it is "bacterial SSU rRNA". It matches the Rfam family "Bacterial small subunit ribosomal RNA", at positions 28 to 419 of the family's 1533-position model. The record is from RNAcentral.